This 696-nucleotide long non-coding RNA is filed under the name Linum usitatissimum (flax). RNAcentral describes it as "long non-coding RNA (LUSI_LNC006624)". The record is from RNAcentral. Lineage: Eukaryota; Viridiplantae; Streptophyta; Magnoliopsida; Malpighiales; Linaceae.
AUGGGCUUGGAGAUUCAUCGAUUCCUCUUCCAAUUGACUGUUCCAGUCGCCAUGGGUAGGAAUUAUUAUGUGGUAUCUCUUUCUAGAAACAUAGUUGCUUCCCCACCUUAAAAGGAGUAACCAAUCAGAACCAGAAACAAAAACCCUAAGAUUACGACCUGGAAGAAAUCAUGGCUGGUGAAUCGAGUUUUUGCUCAAAUUUUUUAUCUUCGAAUCCUGCAAUUCUUUCGAUUUGGUCAGCUUCGGUAAUGUAGGUGUUUGGAUUGUACAAUUUGUUGAUUGGUUUUAUUUGUUCUGAGAUGCUUCAAUGUAGUGGAAUUGAUUCGAUGUUGUGGUGUAGUUUGAUUUCGCGAUUGGACAUGCUGCAGUGGUGGUGGUGGUGGUGGCAGCAGCGACAGAAGCCACUGGUGGUGGAGGAGGCGGCGCAUAAAUCCUAUUAAGGAUGUGAUAUUUUCUUUGUUGUUUUUAAUUAAAAUAAUUUUAUAAUGUGAUGUGGAGUCUAUAAGUCAGCAAAUGCAUCAUCUUAUUUGACCGUUAAAUUAAUAGGCAAAAUCAACGUUGACUAUUUUUCGUUAAAGUUGAUCAGAAAUUUGUGCAACAAAAACAUUUUUAAUAGAUUGUAUCAUUGUCGGCAAAGAUCUGAUAGAUUGACUUUCCUGAAGCAUUAAUCCAUGAAUAAAUAUAGAUUGCUCGAUU